AUGGGACUGAGAGUACUAGGUCACUGCUUGGCACAUUGGAGAGGACAAAUAAAUGUUGAUCUGAACAGUUUUACUCCAUUCACUGCUAAAGAAGUGCCUGCUAUGCCCCAGGUAGGGAAGGAAGCAAAGGUCAAACCAACUCCCUCCUAA
This 150-nucleotide long non-coding RNA is filed under the name Macaca fascicularis (crab-eating macaque). RNAcentral's name for it is "lncRNA (ENSMFAG00000064130.1)". Lineage: Eukaryota; Metazoa; Chordata; Mammalia; Primates; Cercopithecidae. The record is from RNAcentral.